Molecule: ribosomal RNA, 520 nt
Filed under: uncultured Glomus
Lineage: Eukaryota; Fungi; Glomeromycota; Glomeromycetes; Glomerales; Glomeraceae
Description: SSU rRNA
Rfam family: Eukaryotic small subunit ribosomal RNA
Source: RNAcentral
AGCAGCCGCGGUAAUUCCAGCUCCAAUAGCGUAUAUUAAAGUUGUUGCAGUUAAAAAGCUCGUAGUUGAAUUUCGGGAUCAAUAUAUCGGUCGUGCCAUUGGUACGUACUGGUAUCAUUGGUUUCUCCUUUCUGACGAACCAUGAUGUCAUUAAUUUGGUGUUAUGGGAAGUUAGGACUGUUACUUUGAAAAAAUUAGAGUGUUUAAAGCAGGCUUUAGCUUGAAUACAUUAGCAUGGAAUAAUGAAAUAGGACGUUCGAACCUAUUUUGUUGGUUUCUAGGAUCAACGUAAUGAUUAAUAGGGAUAGUUGGGGGCAUUAGUAUUCAAUUGUCAGAGGUGAAAUUCUUGGAUUUAUUGAAGACUAACUACUGCGAAAGCAUUUGCCAAGGAUGUUUUCAUUAAUCAAGAACGAAAGUUAGGGGAUCGAAGACGAUCAGAUACCGUCGUAGUCUUAACCAUAAACUAUGCCGACUAGGGAUCGGAUGAUGUUAAUUUUUUAAUGACUCAUUCGGCGCCUUA